GAUGAACGCUGGCGGCGUGCCUAAUACAUGCAAGUCGAGCGAACGGACGCGAAGCUUGCUUCUCUGAUGUUAGCGGCGGACGGGUGAGUAACACGUGGAUAACCUACCUAUAAGACUGGGAUAACUUCGGGAAACCGGAGAUAAUACCGGAUAAUAUUUUGAACCGCGUGGGUCAAAAGUGAAAGACGGUCUUGGGGUAAGUAAUAGAUGGAUCCGCGCUGCAUUAGCUAGUUGGGAAGGUAAAGGCGUACCAAGGCAACGAUGCGUAGCCGACCGGAGUGGGUGAUCGGCCCCCCUGGAACGGAACCGCGGUCCAGGCUCCUACGGGAGGCAGCAGUAGGGAAUCGUCCGCAGUGGGCGAAAACCUGACGGAGCAACGCCGCGUGAGUGAUGAAGGUCUUCGGAUCGUAAAACUCUGUUAUUAGGGAAGAACAUAUGUGUACUUAACUGUGCACAGCUUGACGGUACCUAAUCAGAAAGCCCCGGCUAACUACGUG
RNAcentral lists this ribosomal RNA (497 nucleotides) under uncultured bacterium. RNAcentral describes it as "partial 16S ribosomal RNA". It matches the Rfam family "Bacterial small subunit ribosomal RNA", at positions 28 to 507 of the family's 1533-position model. The record is from RNAcentral.